AAUAGAUACCCUGGUAGUCCACGCCGUAAACGAUGAGUGCUAAGUGUUAGAGGGUUUCCGCCCUUUAGUGCUGAAGUUAACGCAUUAAGCACUCCGCCUGGGGAGUACGGCCGCAAGGCUGAAACUCAAAGGAAUUGACGGGGGCCCGCACAAGCGGUGGAGCAUGUGGUUUAAUUCAAAGCAACGCGAAGAACCUUACCAGGUCUUGACAUCCUCUGAUAACCCUAGAGAUAGGGCUUCUCCUUCGGGAGCAGAGUGACAGGUGGUGCAUGGUUGUCGUCAGCUCGUGUCGUGAGAUGUUGGGUUAAGUCCCGCAACGAGCGCAACCCUUGAUCUUAGUUGCCAUCAUUAAGUUGGGCACUCUAAGGUGACUGCCGGUGACAAACCGGAGGAAGGUGGGGAUGACGUCAAAUCAUCAUGCCCCUUAUGACCUGGGCUACACACGUGCUACAAUGGACGGUACAAAGAGCUGCAAGACCGCGAGGUGGAGCUAAUCUCAUAAAACCGUUCUCAGUUCGGA
This 520-nucleotide ribosomal RNA is filed under the name uncultured bacterium. Its description in RNAcentral is "bacterial SSU rRNA". It matches the Rfam family "Bacterial small subunit ribosomal RNA", at positions 777 to 1297 of the family's 1533-position model. The record is from RNAcentral.